This is a non-coding RNA of Aedes aegypti (yellow fever mosquito), 73 nucleotides long. The record is from Rfam. Lineage: Eukaryota; Metazoa; Arthropoda; Insecta; Diptera; Culicidae.
ACUCUCGUGGCGUAGGGGUAACGCGCCCUAUCUAGAGAACUGGGAGUCGUGAGUUCGAUUCUCACCGAGAAGA